GCCUACGGGGCGCAGCAGUAGGGAAUCUUCCACAAUGGGCGAAAGCCUGAUGGAGCAACGCCGCGUGGGUGAAGAAGGUCUUCGGAUCGUAAAACCCUGUUGUUAGAGAAGAAAGUGCGUGAGAGUAACUGUUCACGUUUCGACGGUAUCUAACCAGAAAGCCACAGCUAACUACGUGCCAGCAGCCGCGGUAAUACGUAGGUGGCAAGCGUUAUCCGGAUUUAUUGGGCGUAAAGGGAACGCAGGCGGUCUUUUAAGUCUGAUGUGAAAGCCUUCGGCUUAACCGGAGUAGAGCAUUGGAAACU
This 305-nucleotide ribosomal RNA is filed under the name uncultured bacterium. RNAcentral describes it as "bacterial SSU rRNA". It matches the Rfam family "Bacterial small subunit ribosomal RNA", at positions 337 to 634 of the family's 1533-position model. The record is from RNAcentral.